CCCUUAGACGUUCUGGGCCGCACGCGCGCUACACUGACCAGUGCAACAAGCAUCCGUCCUUGGCCGACAGGCCCGGGCAAUCUUUGAACGCUGGUCGUGAUGGGGAUAGACUUUUGCAAUUUUUGGUCUUCAACGAGGAAUUCCUAGUAAACGCAAGUCAUCAACUUGCAUUGAUUACGUCCCUGCCCUUUGUACACACCGCCCGUCGCACCUACCGAUUGAAUGGUCCGGUGAAGCCUCCGGAUUGGCGCGCACCUCGGUGCCGCCGAGAAGUUGUCUAAACCUUACCAUUUAGAGGAAGGUGAAGUCGUAACA
This 315-nucleotide ribosomal RNA is filed under the name uncultured eukaryote. Its description in RNAcentral is "partial 18S ribosomal RNA". It matches the Rfam family "Eukaryotic small subunit ribosomal RNA", at positions 1470 to 1796 of the family's 1831-position model. The record is from RNAcentral.